This 422-nucleotide ribosomal RNA is filed under the name uncultured bacterium. RNAcentral's name for it is "bacterial SSU rRNA". It matches the Rfam family "Bacterial small subunit ribosomal RNA", at positions 212 to 651 of the family's 1533-position model. The record is from RNAcentral.
UUAUCGCCCAAGGAUGAGCCCGCGUAGGAUUAGCUAGUUGGUGGGGUAAUGGCCUACCAAGGCGACGAUCCUUAGCUGGUCUGAGAGGAUGAUCAGCCACACUGGGACUGAGACACGGCCCAGACUCCUACGGGAGGCAGCAGUGGGGAAUAUUGGACAAUGGGCGAAAGCCUGAUCCAGCAAUGCCGCGUGAGUGAUGAAGGCCUUAGGGUUGUAAAGCUCUUUUACCCGGGAUGAUAAUGACAGUACCGGGAGAAUAAGCUCCGGCUAACUCCGUGCCAGCAGCCGCGGUAAUACGGAGGGAGCUAGCGUUGUUCGGAAUUACUGGGCGUAAAGCGCGCGUAGGCGGUUACUCAAGUCAGAGGUGAAAGCCCGGGGCUCAACCCCGGAACUGCCUUUGAAACUAGGUGACUAGAAUCUUG